UGCGCUUCGGUCAAAGCUCGCCGCAAGGCGUGGCUGGACUAACGCGUCCUAUCUUCGGAUAGUGAACCUGGCUCGCAAGGGCUGGGAGCUCGCUUCCGAUCAUUUACUUUGAAAAAAUUAGAGUGUUCAAAGCAGGCGUCAAGCCAUUGAAUAUUACAGCAUGGGAUAAUAGAAUAUGACGUUGGUCUUAUUUUGUUGGUUUCUAAGGCUGAUGUAAUGAUUAAUAGGGAUAGUUGGGGUCGCUCGUAUUGAGUUGUCAGAGGUGAAAUUCUAGGAUUUACUCAAGACGAACUAAUGCGAAAGCAUUCGACAAGGAUGUUUUCAUUAAUCAAGAACGAAAGUUGGGGGAUCGAAGAUGAUCAGAUACCGUCGUAGUCUCAACCAUAAACUAUGUGGACCAAGGAUCCGAGGACGUUACAUGGAUGACUCUCCGGGCACUUUGUGAGAAAUCAUAAGUAUUUGCAUUCCGGGGGGG
This 475-nucleotide ribosomal RNA is filed under the name uncultured eukaryote. Its description in RNAcentral is "bacterial SSU rRNA". It matches the Rfam family "Eukaryotic small subunit ribosomal RNA", at positions 636 to 1122 of the family's 1831-position model. The record is from RNAcentral.